CUAAUAAAAAGCCGUAAAUAUUAUAUUAGCGGGCUAUUAGCUCAGUUGGUGAGAGCGCACCCCUGAUAAGGGUGAGGCCGCUGGUUCAAAUCCAGCAUAGCCUACCA
Molecule: transfer RNA, 107 nt
Filed under: Prototheca wickerhamii
Lineage: Eukaryota; Viridiplantae; Chlorophyta; Trebouxiophyceae; Chlorellales; Chlorellaceae
Description: tRNA-Ile (GAU)
Rfam family: tRNA (bases 31-104)
About the family: Transfer RNA (tRNA) molecules are approximately 80 nucleotides in length. Their secondary structure includes four short double-helical elements and three loops (D, anti-codon, and T loops).
Source: RNAcentral